This is a long non-coding RNA of Ictalurus punctatus (channel catfish), 1913 nucleotides long. Lineage: Eukaryota; Metazoa; Chordata; Actinopteri; Siluriformes; Ictaluridae. The record is from Ensembl.
CUCGAACAUUUUCAGGAAGGUGAUUCCAGAGUUUAGGAGCGAAGUGUGAAAAAGCUCUACCUCCUUUGGGAGAAUUUAUAUCCUCUGUAUUAUCAAAAGUCCAGAGUUUUGCGACCUUUGAGAGCGUGAAGGAUUGUAACGUGAUAGAAGAUUGGUUAAAUAUAAAGGAGCUUGGCUUGUUUAGGGCUUUAUAGCUCUCUAAGACUGUAUUGGUUUUCUCCGACGAGGACACCAUGCUGGACAUCUUGGUGCUGAUGUUCUUCGCGAUCAUCGGUCUGGUUUUCCUCUCUUAUAUCAUCUACAUGCUCUGAUGCACGCGCAGCUGCGUUGAUGGAGCACUGUGAUGGAUGAGCCGCACGGAUUGCGCCUCCCAGGGCAUCUCCCAGGCAAAGGUUUCAAGAGCAAACUUGGAUGAUGAUGUUCGGCCCCCGGAGAGAGAGAAGGAAAACAGCUGGUUUUAUCGAGGAGCUGGAGGAAGAGGAACACCUUUAUAAAAAUGACAGCUCAGAACAUUCUCACACUUUACUCCGCUUCUUUCCAUACCGAUGGUCUCUUCAUCUUCCUAAACACCAUCAGAAUGCAAGAAGAUCCUGCUGUCCUUUCUUUUCUCUUUUUUUUUUAAGCGGAUGACAAUGAUAUCUAGGGCUUUUUCUUUGUAACUUUGUAACUUUGCACUGUCUGCAAUGGAGCACAUUACUUAAUUGUAUGCUUGUGAGUUAGACAAAGGAUAACGAAAUGGAGAGAAUGAGAAGAUACAGUAGAUUCUAUUGAGACUACAUUUUAUUCACUUCCUUUGUUGAUUUCCUAGACAUGUAAUAUGCACUCUUUUUAACCUUUAUUCUUCCACAGGAUAAUAACUGCAACUGUGCUAUUUGAAAUAAAGAGGCAAUGAAAAAAUGGAAAAAUAUUCUCUUUUUAUUUCAUUUAAUAAUAUAACAAAUUUGUCCACCAUCUACUUGCAGUCCUUUUGUGUAGUUAGAAACAACCACAAAAUUCCAAGCCUGAAAUCCAUGGUAAAGGAUAUUAUUAAUCAUCAGUUCUGAUGGCAGUUACAGGCAUUUUCCUACAGCCUUUAUGAAUUUUGUUCAUAGCAAGCAUCACCUUUGCCUGGUCAUAUACUGAUGCUAAGAUUGCGAAUGGAACGAACUUAGUUGAAAAUCAUGGUGGUAAAAAGGAGGAGGAAGUGUCUAUCUGACUUCCUGGUCAGAACCAUGUACUAAACAGAUUAUAACAACCAAGAACUAUCCAAUCAAAUUUGGUUUGCCAGUCAGGAUGCAGGCUGGUCCUAUUUGCUAUGCCUUUUUUCUGUAGCCUCAGUGUUAUGCGCCUUAUCACUGUUGCUCUGUAAGAGACGAUGAGCACAGGGGCAGAUUUAGUGAUUUGGGGUCUCUAGGCAAAAUAUAGGAAUGGGGCCCCAUUUCAGUGCUUUAGCAUCGUAACUUAAAUUUUCAGCAUAUGUUGUAUAGCAUUAAUAGUUAAAAUAUAUAUAACUUGCAUUUUUAGCAGGCCCUUGGCUUCUGACAAGAGCGAGAUUUAAUUGUGUUAAAAUGAUGUCCAGUUAGAAACGCAUGUAAUACCAUUCACUAAUUUUCACUUGGUAUAGCUGAGUGUUAGACCAUUUUACUGCAGAUCCCCUGAUCAAAUCCUUGUACCCUUGUCUGACUCAUGUGAUUAAGGUAUUCUUUACAGUUUACAGCAUUAAAAGCCCAAUGGAAAUCACCAAAACUAUAAACGAUAUUAUUUGUAGACAGUACUAUAGCACCAUGGAAUUUUUUUUCAGCCUUUGCUGCAAUAUGAAUAUCGCUACUUUAAAUUGCUUUAGAAUGAGAUCCUGUUAAAAUCAACUGAUGACAGUGAACUUACUUUGCCAAGGAGGAUGUAGCUCAGCGGUAGUGUGUUUGCUUGCACGUUAG